RNAcentral lists this ribosomal RNA (462 nucleotides) under uncultured Pelotomaculum sp. Its description in RNAcentral is "bacterial SSU rRNA". It matches the Rfam family "Bacterial small subunit ribosomal RNA", at positions 924 to 1384 of the family's 1533-position model. The record is from RNAcentral. Lineage: Bacteria; Bacillati; Bacillota; Clostridia; Eubacteriales; Desulfotomaculaceae.
CACAAGCGGUGGAGCAUGUGGUUAAUUCGACGCAACGCGAAGAACCUUACCAGGGCUUGACAUCCCCUGACCGCGUAUGAAAGUACGUUUUCACCCUCGGGUGACAGGGAGACAGGUGGUGCAUGGUUGUCGUCAGCUCGUGUCGUGAGAUGUUGGGUUAAGUCCCGCAACGAGCGCAACCCCUACGUUUAGUUGCUAACAGGUGAAGCUGAGCACUCUAGACGAACUGCCGUUGACAAAACGGAGGAAGGUGGGGAUGACGUCAAAUCAUCAUGCCCCUUAUGGGCAGGGCUACACACGUACUACAAUGGUCGGUACAAAGGGCUGCCAACCCGCGAGGGGGAGCCAAUCCCAGAAAACCGAUCGUAGUCCGGAUCGCAGUCUGCAACUCGACUGCGUGAAGUCGGAAUCGCUAGUAAUCGUGAAUCAGAAUGUCACGGUGAAUACGUUCCCGGGCCUUGU